This 149-nucleotide small RNA is filed under the name uncultured Dysosmobacter sp. Its description in RNAcentral is "M-box riboswitch (ykoK leader)". It matches the Rfam family "M-box riboswitch aptamer (ykoK leader)", at positions 10 to 160 of the family's 169-position model. Rfam says of the family: M-box riboswitch, also know as ykoK leader is described as a metaloregulatory RNA that sense divalent metals and function as a genetic control element of genes related to divalent metal transport in bacteria. It was first reported upstream of the B.subtilis ykoK gene and genes with related functions in other bacteria. Phylogenetic analysis of the distribution of M-box RNAs across bacterial genomes revealed that M-box riboswitches are most often employed for the regulation of Mg2+ transporter genes Lineage: Bacteria; Bacillati; Bacillota; Clostridia; Eubacteriales; Oscillospiraceae. The record is from RNAcentral.
AAUCCGGUAGGUAAGGCUACCGCAGGGAUAUGGAUCGCUGCCGCGAAGUGAUGGAAACAUCAUAAGAGGGUCGAACAGGUGCUAUCGAACAGGAAGGUAUCAUCUAACGCGAUUUCACCGCCUUGUGGAGCUAAAGCUUGAACGGUUGC